Molecule: RNA transcript, 2859 nt
Organism: Vigna radiata var. radiata (mung bean)
Lineage: Eukaryota; Viridiplantae; Streptophyta; Magnoliopsida; Fabales; Fabaceae
Gene name: UPF0496 protein At3g19330
Exons: 5
Source: RefSeq, a predicted model, not a curated record
GGAUAGAGUUGACUUUGAGCACAACAAUCAACGUCUGCAAUCUAUUCGAAGGAAGUCUCAAACCAGUCCAAACUAAAAACUGUCACUAGCCUCUGCAAUCAGAUACAGGCAUAGUUUCUUGCAUUGAAGAAUAAUACAAACUAUUUAAUUAGAAAUGCUGGAAUGCGUUUCAGUCCCCAACACCAACGCUUCUAUUCCCACACCUUCCAAUUCUCAAGGGAACUCCACCGAGGUAGAAGAAUCGGAAGGAGAAGAAGAUGAGGACGCUUCCACCGCAAGCUUAAACGUGUCCACCGAAUUCCUCCGCGCCGUGCAGGCCCCCUCCUACAAGGAGAUCCGCUCCAUCAUCGAAGCCCCUCCGCCUGUCCACCACGCCCACGACCAAGACUCACACCACCGCUACGUCCUAUCUCAGCUCCUCCAACCUGACUCCAACAGCGUUCAUGAAGCCCUCGCCAAGUUCAAACCUACCAGCAAACUCACGCGUCUCGUCUCCACCUACUUUGAACACAGCGAAACCACCUCUGACUUCUGUCUCCGCCUCCUCCUCACCAUCAUCCGCGCGCGCGACCUAUACGCGCCACUCUCCCGCCUCCUCUCCGUCCUCCCCGCCGAUGGGCCGCCGCUCUCCCAGGCCCAGUGCGACCGCGCCUACGAUCUCUUCCUCCAAUUCGACAGCCAGGAGAACCCCUUCCUGCUCUCCCACCUCCACCAGCUCCGCGACAGCUUCUCCCACCUGAAGGGCGACAUCCAGCGCGACCUCCGCAGGUGCCACUCUAGAAUCCGUAUGUUUGGCCACGCCACCGUCGGGUGCGCCGUUAUUUCCGUCGCCGUAAUUGCCGCCGUCGCCGUCGUCGCCGUCCAUGCAGCAAUAGGUUUCACUGCCGUAGCCGCGACUCCGUUUUGUGUUCCCCGGCAGAAGAGGAGGGAGCUUGUGAGGUUGAAGCAGCUUGAGGCUGCGGAGAAUGGAACUCUUGUGGUGAAUGACAUCAACACCAUUGAUAGCCUAGUUGAUCGGCUUCAAACCGCGGUGGAAGCUGAUAAGGCUUUCGUUCGGAUUGCGUUGGAGAGGGGAAGGGAGAGGCAUCCCAUUCAGCAGGUGCUUAAAGAGCUUACAAAGAACCAACCUGUUUUGGAGCAUUUGCUUGGGGAUCUUGAGCAACAUAUAUACUUCUGCUUUUACAGUGUUAACAAGGCCAGAUAUGCCCUUCUCAAAGAGAUAUGCAAUCAUCAAAAUCUAUAUUGCUGAUUCUGGAUUCAUGCAAAAAUGUAUUACUAACCCUGCAAUUAAAGGUGUGGGCUCUUUUUAUAAUUUGUCAGACUGACUCUAUAUAUGAUAUUUGUAGUUAUAUACAUCAAAUUAAAUUCCUCCGUUUGAAUGUAUUUACCAUUCGGUUCAAUCAUUUGAGAUAGUGGUGCCAGCCAGUGCUGGCCAUCCUUUUACUUGCCAUCACAUUUUAAGAUCCUAGAAGGACUAUUGUGUAGGGGUGACAUUUCAGGAACAGAUUAGGGUCAUCUAGUAUACGCCAUCAUAUAUGGCACGUAAUCAAUUGUAUGCAUCAUGAUGCACUUUGAAGUGCUAAUAAUGUUAAUUUGCGUUGUUAUCUCUUUAUGGGUCUGUUCAUAAUGCUAGUUAUAGAGUUGCCCGGGGAUAUUCCAUGUGUUGUUUUAACUGUUUAGUUUGUUUGACGAAUCCUUUCAAGCUAUAAUCUGAACAAUAUAUAUCAGGACUCAACAAUUAAUUACAGAAUUUCCCUAAUGAGUGAGUGUAGGGGAUGAUCUGUCAUUUAUUCAGAAUCAUAGGACAUAGGAUAUUUAUGAAGAAUUAAAAUAUUGAUUCUGCUAUAAAUGUGGGAGAAAACCGAAAAACAAAUCCUCGAAAAAUCAGUAGAGAAUAAAAGAAAUAAACACCCCUGAUUCUAAUUGUCAUUCUAUGAAGUGUGCAACGCUAGGUACAAGCUUCAAAGCAAACAUUGAUGGGAAAGUUUGGGAAAAGGAUAUUGAUGUCACACUGAAAAAAGAAUGAGAAGAUAGUGAUGAUAAGUUGUGAAAUUAAUCGUAACAAGUUAUUUUAAUAAGAUCAAAUUAGGAUUCUUAUAAUUCAGAAUUCCACAAAAUUCUCAUAGAGAAUUUUCUCUAUCAAAAUCAUAUACAUUUCCAUCAUGUUAGAAGUGCGUGAUUUAUAGGAUGAAUUAAGCAAAAUGUUCUAAAUUUUAGACUAGUCCUCAAUAAGAAAUAUUUAACAUCUUUUAGUAACUAACUCUUGUUAAUACUUUUUUUAAUUUGCAUUAUAUAAAUCAUUAUCUCCCUUAUUUAGUUAAAAAUAUGAAGUUACAAAAAGGGCUAAAAAUUACAUUCACCUCCUCCACAUCAUAUCAAGUAUAUAGGAGGUCCAAGUGUAAGGCUGAACACCACAUUACAAGCUGCAUUUUCAAAGCAUAACAGAUCUCCCCAGCUCGUGAUGAACUUAUACUUUUAUAUAUCCUGCUGUCUUCGGUCAGAUUACAGUUCAAGAUAUUGUUACUACAUAUCAGGCUAAUACUAUGCAGAACGGCCCUGGUUUAUACGUUGGAGAUGAAGAAGCAGCCGAAAGCAGCCUGCCACUGUCACUGUCAAGGUUCGUGGGUUGAUGCAUGGCCACCGUGAAGGAAGUUGAAGAGGCCAUCGUGAGACGUUGAAGAAGCAACAAUGAGGUUGAAGAUGUUACAUAUGAAAAAGGAGCAUAAGUAACCAAACCUAUUCCCCAAAUUCCUAUAGCUUCUGUUAUUGUUACAUUAACUUAAAUUUUAGAGAUUUGUUAUUUUAUUAGUUUUUGAUUUAGUAAUAUUUGGUUUGAUUUUGAUUGAGAUAAAAUCGAUA